This is a long non-coding RNA of Oxyura jamaicensis (ruddy duck), 253 nucleotides long. RefSeq lists it as uncharacterized. The transcript has 2 exons. Lineage: Eukaryota; Metazoa; Chordata; Aves; Anseriformes; Anatidae. The record is from RefSeq and is a predicted model, not a curated record.
GUGCAGUCACCACAGGCUGUGGCUGUAGAGCUUUUUCAGCCCUGAUUUCUCUGAGAGGUUCUGCUGCAGCCAACACAUCCCCCUGCUCGACAUGCCUCUCCCAUUUUCUCCUCUGAGCAUAAUGGCACAGAGCAGAUCCUCAGGCUUACUCACCUGGACGCUGAGCCACCUCUAAGAGCUCAUAAUGUUGUUUUGACUCAGGCAGCAGGUCUGUGAUUUUAGACAGCUGUGCACAACGUUCAUUAAAAAAAGA